RNAcentral lists this ribosomal RNA (465 nucleotides) under uncultured bacterium. RNAcentral's name for it is "partial 16S ribosomal RNA". It matches the Rfam family "Bacterial small subunit ribosomal RNA", at positions 338 to 795 of the family's 1533-position model. The record is from RNAcentral.
CCUACGGGGGGCAGCAGUGGGGAAUAUUGCGCAAUGGGCGAAAGCCUGACGCAGCGACGCCGCGUGAGGGAUGAAGGCCUUCGGAUUGUAAACCUCUGUCAGCAGGGAAGAACGGUCACUGUGUUAAUCAGUAGUGAAUUGACGGUACCUGCAAAGGAAGCACCGGCUAACUCCGUGCCAGCAGCCGCGGUAAUACGGAGGGUGCGAGCGUUAAUCGGAAUUACUGGGCGUAAAGCGCUCGUAGGCGGUAUGUCAAGUCAAGGGUGAAAUCCCCGCGCUCAACGUGGGAACUGCAUAUGAAACUGGCAAACUGGAGUGUGGGAGAGGGUAGUGGAAUUCCAGGUGUAGGAGUGAAAUGCGUAGAUAUCUGGAGGAACAUCAGUGGCGAAGGCGGCUAUCUGGAACAUAACUGACGCUGAGGAGCGAAAGCGUGGGGAGCAAACAGGAUUAGAUACCCUUGUAGUC